UACGGGGGGGGCAAGCGUUGUUCGGAAUUACUGGGCGUAAAGGGCUCGUAGGCGGCCAACUAAGUCAGACGUGAAAUCCCUCGGCUUAACCGGGGAACUGCGUCUGAUACUGGAUGGCUUGAGUUCGGGAGAGGGAUGCGGAAUUCCAGGUGUAGCGGUGAAAUGCGUAGAUAUCUGGAGGAACACCGGUGGCGAAGGCGGCAUCCUGGACCGACACUGACGCUGAGACGCGAAAGCGUGGGGAGCAAACAGG
Molecule: ribosomal RNA, 253 nt
Filed under: uncultured bacterium
Lineage: Bacteria
Description: partial 16S ribosomal RNA
Rfam family: Bacterial small subunit ribosomal RNA
Source: RNAcentral